UCCUCCCUCUUUCUUCGUGCCUAAUACAUGCAAGUUGAGCGCUGAAGGUUGGUACUUGUACCAACUGGAUGAGCAGCGAACGGGUGAGUAACGCGUGGGGAAUCUGCCUUUGAGCGGGGGACAACAUUUGGAAACGAAUGCUAAUACCGCAUAAAAACUUUAAACACAAGUUUUAAGUUUGAAAGAUGCAAUUGCAUCACUCAAAGAUGAUCCCGCGUUGUAUUAGCUAGUUGGUGAGGUAAAGGCUCACCAAGGCGAUGAUACAUAGCCGACCUGAGAGGGUGAUCGGCCACAGUGGGACUGAGACACGGCCCAAACUCCUACGGGAGGCAGCAGUAGGGAAUCUUCGGCAAUGGACGAAAGUCUGACCGAGCAACGCCGCGUGAGUGAAGAAGGUUUUCGGAUCGUAAAACUCUGUUGGUAGAGAAGAACGUUGGUGAGAGUGGAAAGCUCAUCAAGUGACGGUAACUACCCAGAAAGGGACGGCUAACUACGUG
RNAcentral lists this ribosomal RNA (497 nucleotides) under uncultured bacterium. RNAcentral's name for it is "partial 16S ribosomal RNA". It matches the Rfam family "Bacterial small subunit ribosomal RNA", at positions 36 to 507 of the family's 1533-position model. The record is from RNAcentral.